RNAcentral lists this ribosomal RNA (440 nucleotides) under uncultured bacterium. Its description in RNAcentral is "partial 16S ribosomal RNA". It matches the Rfam family "Bacterial small subunit ribosomal RNA", at positions 338 to 795 of the family's 1533-position model. The record is from RNAcentral.
CCUACGGGAGGCAGCAGUAGGGAAUAUUGCUCAAUGGGGGAAACCCUGAAGCAGCACCGCCGCGUGGAGGAUGAAGGUUUUAGGAUUGUAAACUUCUUUUGUGAGAGAAGAUAAUGACGGUAUCUCACGAAUAAGCACCGGCUAACUCCGUACCAGCAGCCGCGGCAAUACGGAGGGUGCAAGCGUUACUCGGAAUCACUGGGCGUAAAGGGUGCGCAGGCGGGCUUGUAAGUCAGAUGUGAAAUCCUGUAGCUUAACUACAGAACUGCAUUUGAAACUAUUAGUCUAGAGUGUGGGAGAGGUAGGUGGAAUUCUUGGUGUAGGGGUAAAAUCCGUAGAUAUCAAGAGGAAUACUCAUUGCGAAGGCGACCUACUGGAACAUUACUGACGCUCAUGCACGAAAGCGUGGGGAGCAAACAGGAUUAGAUACCCCUGUAGUC